AAUUAUUAAAUUAUUAAUUAAUUUAUUUAAAUAAAAACUUAUUUUAAUAAAAAUAUUUUUAAUUAUGUUAUUAUUUUAGUAUUAUUUAAAGAAAAAAUUUUUUUAAUUAUAGUUUAUUUUGUAUAUAGAUAGAAUUUUGAAAUAUUUUGAAAUUAAAAAAUUUUUUAUAAAGUAAACUUUUUUUGUUGUACCUUGUGUAUCAGGGUUGAUUAAAAAAAAUAUAUUUAUUUAAUAUUUUUCUCGAAUUUAAAAGAUCUAUUUAAUAAAUUAUUUUUAAUGUUUAAUAAUUAUUUUAAAUUUUUAAAUAGAAAUGAAAUGUUUUUCGUUUUUAAAGUUAUCUAGUUUUUUAAUAAAUAAAUUUAAUUUAAAUAUCAUUUAUUAAUUAUUUUAAUUAAAAAAAAUAAUUAUUUUUAAUAUUAAAGUUUUAAGGGAUUAGCUUUAAUUCUUAAAUUUAUAAAAAAUUUUAUAUUAUAGUGUUUAUUUUUAGGCUUAGAAUUAGCUUUAAUUUGAAAAUUGUAAUAAUUUUAUAAUAUAUAUAUAUAUAUACACAUAUAUAUAUAUAUAUAUAUAUAUAGAUUUUAAUUUUUUUUAAUUUUAUAUUAAAAUAAAUUAAUUAAUAAAUUUUUAAUUUAAAUAAUGAUUAAAUUAGUAAAUAUUUUUUAAAAUAUAAUUAUUUAUUAAAAGUAAUUAUUGGUAGUUAAUUUUAAGGAACUAGGCAAAAAUUUAGCUCGCCUGUUUAACAAAAACAUGUCUUUUUGAAUAUUAUAAAAAGUCUAAUCUGCUCAAUGAAUUAUUGUUUAAAUAGCCGCAGUAUUUUAACUGUGCAAAGGUAGCAUAAUAAUUUGUCCUUUAAUUUAGGACUAGAAUGAAAGAUUUGACGAGGUUAAAUCUGUCUUAUGAUUAAUAAUUAUUGAAUUUAAUUUUUAAGUAAAAAAGCUUAAAUUUUAUUAAAGGACGAGAAGACCCUAUAGAGUUUUAUAAAUUUAAAUUAUUUUUAUAAAAAUAUUUUUAUAAAAAUAUUUUUAUUUAUUUUAUUGGGGUGAUAAUUAAAUUAAAUUAACUUUAAAUUAAAAUUUACAUUUAUUAAUGAAUUUAUGAUCCUAAUUUUUAGAUUAUUAGAAUAAAUUACCUUAGGGAUAACAGCGUUAUUUUUUUUAAAGUUCUUAUUAACAUUAAAAAUUGCGACCUCGAUGUUGGAUUAAAAUUUAUUUUAGGUGAAGAAGCUUGAAAAUUAGGUCUGUUCGACCUUUAAAAUUUUACAUGAUCUGAGUUCAAACCGGUUUAAGCCAGGUUGGUUUCUAUCCUUAAUUUUAUUAAAAAUUUUUAGUACGAGAGGACCAUAAUUUUAAAUUAUUAUAAAUUUUAUUUAAAUGAGUAUAAAAAAUUAUUUAAUAA
Molecule: ribosomal RNA, 1395 nt
Filed under: Gilpinia tabulaeformis
Lineage: Eukaryota; Metazoa; Arthropoda; Insecta; Hymenoptera; Diprionidae
Description: 16S ribosomal RNA
Source: RNAcentral